AGGAACUCUGCAAAAUAGCACCGUAUCUUCGGUAUAAGGUGUGGUUAGCUUCGUACUAGGAUUUACUCCGAAAGCGAAGAAACUUACAACAAAGAGUCCCUCCCGACUGUUUACCAAAAACACAGCACUCUGCUAACUCGUAAGAGGAUGUAUAGGGUGUGACGCCUGCCCGGUGCUCGAAGGUUAAUUGAUGGGGUUAGCAUUAGCGAAGCUCUUGAUCGAAGCCCGAGUAAACGGCGGCCGUAACUAUAACGGUCCUAAGGUAGCGAAAUUCCUUGUCGGUUAAAUACCGACCUGCAUGAAUGGCGUAACGAGAUGGGAGCUGUCUCAAAGAGGGAUCCAGUGAAAUUGUAGUGGAGGUGAAAAUUCCUCCUACCCGCGGCAAGACGGAAAGACCCCGUGGACCUUUACUACAGCUUGACACUGCUACUUGGAUAAGAAUGUGCAGGAUAGGUGGGAGGCUUUGAGUAUAUGACGCCAGUUGUAUAUGAGCCAUUGUUGAGAUACCACUCUUUCUUAUUUGGGUAGCUAACCAGCUUGAGUUAUCCUCAAGUGGGACAAUGUCUGGUGGGUAGUUUGACUGGGGCGGUCGCCUCCCAAAUAAUAACGGAGGCUUACAAAGGUUGGCUCAGAACGGUUGGAAAUCGUUCGUAGAGUAUAAAGGUAUAAGCCAGCUUAACUGCAAGACAUACAAGUCAAGCAGAGACGAAAGUCGGUCUUAGUGAUCCGGUGGUUCUGUGUGGAAGGGCCAUCGCUCAAAGGAUAAAAGGUACCCCGGGGAUAACAGGCUGAUCUCCCCCAAGAGCUCACAUCGACGGGGAGGUUUGGCACCUCGAUGUCGGCUCAUCGCAUCCUGGGGCUGGAGCAGGUCCCAAGGGUAUGGCUGUUCGCCAUUUAAAGCGGUACGCGAGCUGGGUUCAGAACGUCGUGAGACAGUUCGGUCCCUAUCUGCCGUGGGCGUAAGAAGAUUGAAGAGAUUUGACCCUAGUACGAGAGGACCGGGUUGAACAAACCACUGGUGUAGCUGUUGUUCUGCCAAGAGCAUCGCAGCGUAGCUAAGUUUGGAAAGGAUAAACGCUGAAAGCAUCUAAGCGUGAAGCCAACUCUAAGAUGAAUCUUCUCUAAGCUCUCUAGAAGACUACUAGUUUGAUAGGCUGGGUGUGUAAUGGAUGAAAGUCCUUUAGCUGACCAGUACUAAUAGAGCGUUUG
RNAcentral lists this ribosomal RNA (1209 nucleotides) under Campylobacter jejuni. Its description in RNAcentral is "partial 23S ribosomal RNA". It matches the Rfam family "Bacterial large subunit ribosomal RNA", at positions 1708 to 2915 of the family's 2925-position model. Lineage: Bacteria; Pseudomonadati; Campylobacterota; Epsilonproteobacteria; Campylobacterales; Campylobacteraceae. The record is from RNAcentral.